RNAcentral lists this long non-coding RNA (782 nucleotides) under Phaseolus vulgaris (common bean). RNAcentral describes it as "long non-coding RNA (PVUL_LNC002440)". The record is from RNAcentral. Lineage: Eukaryota; Viridiplantae; Streptophyta; Magnoliopsida; Fabales; Fabaceae.
AAUCUGUCAAUGAUACAUAAUCAAACCCAUUUAACCAAAGUAAACUAAUUGAAAGAAACUCAUAACAAAAUUAGGAAAUUGCACAUGGAAUUAUGCCUAAGCACUCUUUUCCACCCCAUGUAACCAAAGUAAACUAAUUGAAAGAAACUCAUAACAGAAUUAGGAAAUUGUACAUGGAAUUAUGCUUAAGCACUCUUUUCCAGCUUAGCAAGCUCUUGCCUACAACUGAUGCCCUCUGCACAAAUUGAAACCAAAAGUUAUAUGUCAACACAGUAGUAGAGACACUUGGAUUUUGCUAUGCAUAAAAUCCAUUUCACAAACUAUUUGAAAAGCAAUACCAAAAUCAAAAGAGUGAGAAUAGCUAGAAGGAAACCAGCCUUGAUCUUUGCCAACAUAAUCUCUCUUCCCCUAACCGGGUGGAAACACUAGUACGGGUAGGUUUUUAAAUCGACCACCAUCAUCAUGGUCUUUGUAUUUGUACUUGGGGUAACUAAAUAAGCUUGGAAGUAAUGAUGUUUUAAACUUUAUCAGUAAAUUUUGUCUCCUUUUUCUCACAAACCUACACAAUAUAAUAGAUAGUUAUUGAUCGAUGAUAUAAAGAAUUAUAAAAAUAAUAUAACAUAAGAUGUAUCAAACUUGAAUUAUCUUCUUGAAUUGUCUUCAUGUACGGCUGACUGUCUCAAUGUGUAUAUUAUACAUGACCGAAUAUAUUGAGGAGAUAUACCUCCUGCAAAACAUACUUCAUGUUGAGAAGUAUAUCGAGAAUUAAGGGUACUGUUAAC